Long non-coding RNA from Numida meleagris (helmeted guineafowl), 734 nucleotides. The record is from Ensembl. NCBI's taxonomy places the organism in Eukaryota, Metazoa, Chordata, Aves, Galliformes, Numididae.
GAAAUCUCACACUCUCCUCACCGCUUACAGGAUGAAGAAUUAAGUAGCUGUAAUUUGUGAACUCGAAGCCUACAAAACGCAAAGCAACCCUAGUUCAGUGAUUAUUCCAGCCAAAAAAAAAGAGUGAUCUGGGGAAGAGUGGAAAAACAAUGACAAUAUAUCUUUCUUGCGUAAGACAAAGGUUUUGCCUAUAAUAAAUUCACUGAGCAAGAAAUACAGACUCCUGUCCAAUGCUAUGAAAAUUAACCAAGGCACAUUAACUUCAGGAAAUCUUCAAAGGUACGAAAAUAAAAUGCUUACUCAGUAAUUAUUUAAACCAAACAAGCCAUCAGUAUGUGCGACACCCUAAGUAUUAUGUCAGGUCAAUAAUUAAGCUGUAGUAAAUCUUCUGGAGAUUCUCUUCUGCCAAACUGCAAAGACUCAAGGCUAACCCAAGGACCCUUAACAUUUCGUGAGGAAGCAAAUGAUUGUACAGAUAGCUUCUCAAUCCAAAGUUUGCUGUUAUUAACUUUCAGUUUGUAAGACAUCCAGAAAUUGUAUGUUUUAAGUUUGUUGAAUAAUACCCUGUGAACAAAAUAUGUGGCUUUCUUGAGCUUACUGAAAGGAAUAUUUUAUAGGCUUGAGUUCUGUCAAGAUAAAAACACUCCUUUUUUCUGUAGGGAAACAUACACAUUAAGCAGAAAGUGACAUCUUGGAAUUUUUCCUUGUUUAUGUAAACCUGAUGAUUAUGAAAA